Molecule: ribosomal RNA, 501 nt
Filed under: uncultured bacterium
Lineage: Bacteria
Description: bacterial SSU rRNA
Rfam family: Bacterial small subunit ribosomal RNA
Source: RNAcentral
ACUCAAAGGAAUUGACGGGGGCCCGCACAAGCGGUGGAGCAUGUGGUUUAAUUCGAAGCAACGCGAAGAACCUUACCAGGGCUUGACAUUUACCUGCAGUCAACUGGAAACAGAUGGCCUUCUUUCGGGACAGGUAAACAGGUGGUGCAUGGUUGUCGUCAGCUCGUGUCGUGAGAUGUUGGGUUAAGUCCCGCAACGAGCGCAACCCUUGUUCUUAGUUGCCAUCACGUUAUGGUGGGCACUCUAAGGAGACUGCCGGUGACAAACCGGAGGAAGGUGGGGACGACGUCAAAUCCUCAUGCCCCUUAUGUCCUGGGCUACACACGUGCUACAAUGGUCUGUACAACGGGUUGCGAGAGGGCGACCUUUAGCUAAUCCCUUAAAACAGGUCUCAGUUCGGAUUGUAGGCUGCAACUCGCCUACAUGAAGUCGGAAUCGCUAGUAAUCGCAGGUCAGCAUACUGCGGUGAAUACGUUCCCGGGCCUUGUACACACCGCCCGU